UGGAUACCUAUGCAGGCAGACCUAUGGGACAACUGCUGGAAAAUUAAAGGGAUAUUUUUAUCCUAAGUUUACAAGUGGAUCCCUUCUGUUGGACUUCACUGAUACUUUGAAAAACUGAGGAAAUGCCAACCCAAUGAGCCAAGAAAAAUGAAUGAAAUAUAUAUCUACAUGCUGGAGAGGAAUAUAAUUCAUUAGGUGGCCUAUAAUAAGGAAUCCCAAUAAACGCUAUCAUAUUCUGGGAAUAAUUUUCUUCAAGUUUUUUCAACUUGGUAAUAUUUUUCAGUACAACUUUGGUUCAAUUAGAACUUCAUACCUUUUGAAUACUACAGUUAUUCCAAUAUAAACAGAGAGCUGUUAUUUAGAAAACACCCCUGAAGAAGUCGAUAUAGACGAAACGCGUUGGGUGAAAGCUCAUUAUAUUGUUUUUUUCCUUAUACAAAUAAUGUUGAAAUAUACAAUUGUAUCUCCAAUGUAAAAGAAAAGGAAAAGUUUUAUGAUAAGUUUUAAAUCAAAAUCUUUUAAUAAAGAGAUAUGUGAUUCUAAUAUGGGUGUAUAAAUGUGUAAGGUCAUCCUCUCUUUAUAUAACAUCCACCAACAGUCAUCUAAUUAUAUCAGAUUAUAGAAUAAGAGCGCUCCAUAGAGAUAUUUCUUCUUUUAUCUAUUUUUGAUCCUUACCGACAAAGGAUUCUCUCUGUGUUGAAGCUUGCUU
Pseudophryne corroboree (corroboree frog) is the source of this 709-nucleotide long non-coding RNA. RefSeq lists it as uncharacterized. NCBI's taxonomy places the organism in Eukaryota, Metazoa, Chordata, Amphibia, Anura, Myobatrachidae. The transcript has 5 exons. The record is from RefSeq and is a predicted model, not a curated record.